GUGCUCACUUCAGCAGUACGUAUACUCAAAUUGGAAUGAUACAGAGAAGAUUAGCAUGGCCCCUGCACGAGGAUGGCACACAACUUUGUGAAGUGUUCCAUAUUUUU
Small nuclear RNA from Callithrix jacchus (white-tufted-ear marmoset), 107 nucleotides. Lineage: Eukaryota; Metazoa; Chordata; Mammalia; Primates; Cebidae. The record is from Ensembl.